Molecule: unclassified non-coding RNA, 211 nt
Filed under: soil metagenome
Description: partial contains 5.8S ribosomal RNA, internal transcribed spacer 2, and large subunit ribosomal RNA
Source: RNAcentral
AACAAGGCGUACCUGCGGACCUGCGGAGGGAUCAUUACAAGUGACCCCGGUUUACCACCGGGAUGUUCAUAACCCUUUGUUGUCCGACUCUGUUGCCUCCGGGGCGACCCUGCCUUCGGGCGGGGGCUCCGGGUGGACACUUCAAACUCUUGCGUAACUUUGCAGUCUGAGUAAACUUAAUUAAUAAAUUAGAACUUUCAACAAUGGAUCU